This 773-nucleotide ribosomal RNA is filed under the name Nemania sp. Its description in RNAcentral is "eukaryotic LSU rRNA". The stretch from base 234 to 773 matches the Rfam family "Eukaryotic large subunit ribosomal RNA", at positions 1 to 550 of the family's 3401-position model. The record is from RNAcentral. Lineage: Eukaryota; Fungi; Ascomycota; Sordariomycetes; Xylariales; Xylariaceae.
GAAUCUUUGAACGCACAUUGCGCCCGCCAGCAUUCUGGCGGGCAUGCCUGUUCGAGCGUCAUUUCAACCCUUAAGCCCUGUUGCUUAGCGUUGGGAGCCUACCGGGAGCCCCCGGUAGCUCCCCAAAGUCAGUGGCGGAGCCGGCUCGCGCCCCAGACGUAGUAGCCCCUUACACGUCGCCUGCGGUGCGUGCCCGGCCCCCUGCCGUAAAACCCCCCCAAUUUCUUUCAGGUUGACCUCGGAUCAGGUAGGAAUACCCGCUGAACUUAAGCAUAUCAAUAAGCGGAGGAAAAGAAACCAACAGGGAUUGCCCUAGUAACGGCGAGUGAAGCGGCAACAGCUCAAAUUUGAAAUCUGGCCCUCGGGUCCGAGUUGUAAUUUGCAGAGGAUGCUUUUGGCGCGGUGCCUUCCGAGUUCCCUGGAACGGGACGCCUUAGAGGGUGAGAGCCCCGUACGGUUGGACACCAAGCCUCUGUAAAGCUCCUUCGACGAGUCGAGUAGUUUGGGAAUGCUGCUCUAAAUGGGAGGUAAAUUUCUUCUAAAGCUAAAUAUUGGCCAGAGACCGAUAGCGCACAAGUAGAGUGAUCGAAAGAUGAAAAGCACUUUGAAAAGAGGGUUAAACAGCACGUGAAAUUGUUGAAAGGGAAGCGUUUGCGACCAGACCUUUUCCUGGCGGGUCAUCCGGUGGUCCCCACCGGUGCACUUCGCGAGGUCGAGGCCAGCAUCGGUUCUCGCAGGGGGAUAAAAGCUCGGGGAACGUAGCUCCUCCGGGA